GAUGGAACAACUUCACUAUCGAAUGACUCUCCAAGAUUACCAGCAGUCUGAGUUCGUAUAAUCCGCCGCUGCUGAGGCUGA
This 81-nucleotide small RNA is filed under the name Arabidopsis thaliana (thale cress). RNAcentral describes it as "ATSL247460". Lineage: Eukaryota; Viridiplantae; Streptophyta; Magnoliopsida; Brassicales; Brassicaceae. The record is from RNAcentral.